GUUUAUAUACAGGUAAAAGAGAAUUCCAAAAUACAAGAAUCUAGAAAAACUCUAGAGAAAUCUAUACAAAGAAUGCCUAUAUUUCCUAUCAUAUUUGCAGGAGAAGUUACAUCAGUCUCCAGCUUAUCUCUCAUCUGGAAUAACAAGCAGUAGCAACAGCUGGCAUGGGAAUCAAAUAGAGAACGUUAGAAAUGAGGCACACGAGCCCAUUAGCACUUUUUAUUUUUUUUCCAAAGAUAAUUUCAUUGAAGCCUCAACU
Molecule: unclassified non-coding RNA, 259 nt
Filed under: Hevea brasiliensis (rubber tree)
Lineage: Eukaryota; Viridiplantae; Streptophyta; Magnoliopsida; Malpighiales; Euphorbiaceae
Source: RNAcentral